GUCGAUGUUCGGCGAUGCAUCAACCGUGAGGGUUUCAAUCGUGAAUAUAAUAGGGUUAUCAAUUUGAGGUAGUCAAGGUUUUUAAGAUAGUUGUGUCAAGGAAGUUGACAGAUUUCUCAGAGAAGGAAAAGUCAAAUUUGAUGGUAUAAGAUUUUCAGGAGCUUGUUGGAGGAGCUCCUGUUCAAGUGCUGCCAUGAAUAUGUUUGCAUAGGGGUAAUUGUGUUGAUUUCUUUCAACAUGUCUAUACAGGCUUGGAUGCCUUGAUCAUUAGGUAUGUUGGUAUAGAGACUUCUUACGUCAAUAGUAAUAAGUAUGAACUUGUCUGGUAGUGUGUUAUUCUGAGCAAAUAUCCGGCAUAGAAAGUCUGUAGUGUCCUGGACAUAUGAUGGUAUGUGUUGUAGGAGUGGUUUGAGUAGAUGGUCAGCAUAUUGAGAAAGCUUGACUGUUGGUCCACCACAACCGGAGAUAAUAGGUCGACCUGGAAUGUUAGUUUUGUGUAUUUUGGGUAAAAGGUAUAGUUGUGGUGUCCUGGCUUGAUUGUCAAUUGUGAGAUAUUUAAAUGUUGUGUUGUCAAUGGCCUUAGAUUUGUGGAGUUUGUGUGCUAGGGUUUUGGUUUCAGUUAGAAUUUCAGGGGUCGGGUCAUGUGUUAGUUUCUGGUAGUGUUUCUCAUUAUAAAGUUGUCUAUAUGCCUCAGUAAGAUAAUCUUCCAUUGGCCAUAUCACAAUGGCUCCUCCUUUGUCUGCUGGUUUGAUUAUUAUAUCAUCAUCCUUUUUUAGAUCAUGGAUGGUUUUAAGGCUUUGUGAGGAUAAGUUGGUUUUUGUAGUUUGUUUUUGUGUUCCAAAUUCAAUUUUGAGAUCGUAGAGUACAUUUGAUAUGUAUUCUAACAGGUUGCUGUUGUCGGGGUUUGGUGCUGUGAAGUUACUGGGUAGUUUAAAUGGAUGUUUUUUAGUGUCCUUUCUGUUUCUGAAGAAAUAUUUAUUGUACAUGCUUUUUUUAUAUUUCAGAAAAGAGGCAUAUAUGGUCUUGUAUGGUGUGUGUUUGGGUGUCGGGACAAAGGUAAGGCCUUUCGACAGGGUUUUUUGUGCUUCCUGUGAGAUGGGUUUGUUAGAGAGGUUAACAAUAGUAUUGUGUUGGGAGUUAUAUUUGAGUUUUUUAUGUAGUUUAUUUUUGCUUUUGUGUCUGUUG
This is a long non-coding RNA of Dendronephthya gigantea, 1185 nucleotides long. RefSeq lists it as uncharacterized. Lineage: Eukaryota; Metazoa; Cnidaria; Anthozoa; Malacalcyonacea; Nephtheidae. The transcript is spliced from 4 exons. The record is from RefSeq and is a predicted model, not a curated record.